Molecule: non-coding RNA, 5890 nt
Organism: Myodes glareolus (Bank vole)
Lineage: Eukaryota; Metazoa; Chordata; Mammalia; Rodentia; Cricetidae
Source: RefSeq, a predicted model, not a curated record
CCAGUGUCUCCUGCUGAUUUGGGGGAACACAAUCAAAUCUGCUGUCUGUGCAAAACCAUAAUGGCAAAGCCACAUAUGACCAAGGUGGAGAGCACAUGUUCAAACACAUGGUCACGUGGAAGGUGAGGAACUUCAUAUUCAAGUCAUAACAUCCGGUCCUCAGCCCUGGCCUUGAAAGAGGCAAUGGAUGAAGUCUAGUAGAGACGGACGGGGAGGACUGCCUGGCCCCAUGGCUGACCAAGAUCAUGACCAUGGAAACACAGAACUACCUGGGAGACACAGAGACUGAAUCUAACGACAACUCUACACUCAUGGUAUGAGCUUCGAUACAAGGGUGCGAAGGAGGAGACUUUGAUUUCAGCCUGUUUGCCUUCACUCCUGCUGUCAAGUUCACCUCUCCUGUUGCUGUGGCAUUCUUUUAUUGAUAUGAAAACCACUCCGUUGCGAUUCCAAUGUAGACCGAAGACCACCAGCUCUCUAGGAUUCUUCAGGCUUUCAGCACCAGAUUGAAACUGCUGAGACAGCUAGCCUUGAGCUGAACAAUUACAUUCUCCGCUUUUCUAGCAUGAGACAGCCAUUGUUGGACUUCCCAGCCUUCGUCCUGUAAACCAUAUACGAGUGUGUGUGUGUGUGUGUGUGUGUGUGUGUGUGUGUGUGUGUGUGAUAUGUCUUUAUUCUAUUGGUUCCAUCCCUUUAGAGAGCCCUGACUAACACACAGGCACACGGUUUCUGAAGUUCGAGUUCCCCAGCACACUGAGUUGCUCCUUUGGCGGACAGGGAGCAUUACAAGGCGCAGGGGCUGCCUUCAGCCCAGCAUCUCCUCCUCAUACUCACUGAUCACAGUGUUCAGGUGUCAUGGUAUUUACCAAAGGUUUGCAGAGAAAGUCAUUACGCUGCCAGCAGCUGCAAGUCUGUUCUUAAGGACAGCAAAGCCGGUGGGUGCCUUCUUUCCACUCUGAAAUUCUGUGACCUGAUCUGAUCUGGAUUGUGAGUUGAGAGAUACAGUGUUGUAACUGGUAUAACACACCCCUGCGUGUCAGCCUGGGCGUUUCUGAGGGCUCUGACCCAAUCAAUGGCUUAAUCCAUUAGCGGAUUCAAACUGUGAGUAGACCGUUGUGGUGGGGAUGGGGGUGGAGGGCAGUGAUACAGGAAGGUGGGGACGACUUGGAGGAAGUGGCUCCCUAGAGCUUGUCUUACUGACUGUGUCCUGCCCUGGGUCCUUCUUGUCUUACACCACUCCCGUGUGGCUGCCCAGAGUAGACUCUACUACAUUGCGUCUUUCUGCCUGAGCAAGGAACCUUUGGAAACCAUGGGCAAAAGAGGUCCCUUAGGUUUGGUCAAAGAUGAUUGACAGAGUGUCCAUAUCACGUGGUCAUCUCCAUGGACCAGAGAUGGGAGGGCAAGUCCAGGAAGAGAGGGACAGGGCCUGGGAGUCGAGUCAACUAGACACAUGAGUCCUGGUCGACCUUGCAGCCCAAGGAGACAGGAGUAAGCUAAUUCCACGGAGGUGGAGAAAAUAAACCAGGGCAAUGUGAGAACGUGAUCUGGAGGGUACGGGGACUUGGAUUAUCUCGGGUUGGACAGGACCAUUUGAGGAGGGUCCUUGAGCUAAGACUGUGCAGACAUCUUGAGUAAAGUUCCAGGUCAAAGACUGGGCUGGGCACAGGGGCCCUCAGUAUCUGCAGAGUAGGGCUGAGGUCUGGAGUAGGGCUCAUGGCAAGAAAUUUGGCUUGGGGAGGGCAGCUGGCGGCGUAGGGAUGGCAGAGUUUCAUCAAGAGUAGGACGUCUAUCCCUGCAGCAGGGGGAGGGGUGUGGUUCAAGAAGAGGAUGACUGGCUCUGAUUGGCGGCUUUUAGUUUCUUUUAAAGAUUUAUUUGUAAAUUACGUGUAAGCAUGCUUGUCUCUGUGUGGAUUGAUGCGCAUGCGUGCAGGCGUGAGGCGGUCAGCAGAGGGCAUCCGAUCCGCUGACGUUAGAAUUACAGGCGUUUGUGAGCUGCCAGAUGUGGGUGCUGGGAAGCAAACUUAGGGCCUCUGCAAGAGCAGUAAGUGCUCUUAACUACUGAGCCAUCUUUCCGGCCCCCUGGUUUGCGCUUUUUCUUCUUUUGCUUAAAAGUCAAGGUGGCAAACUCUAAUGGCACAGGACUGUAAUCCAACUAUGCAGGAAUGGGAAAUAGGUGAGCUGCAAACUCAAGGACAGCCCAGACUUCAGAGCAAGUUCAAGGCCAGCGAAGGAGGAUAGUGAGACCCUCUCUUAAACUAAAUUUUUAAAAGGGGCGUGGGCUGCGGCAGCAGCUGAGUGGUGGAGUGUCUCCCCAGUGUGUGUGCUUUCCAUCCUCAGUACUGGGAAAAGAAAAAAAAGAGCUACAAAAUGUAUUCGGGGACAUGUAAAUGCACAUGUCUUAGUAGAUAGACAUCUUGAAGAGUAAUCACACACAUAUACACGACUGGUAUCAGGUCAACAUAUAGGACAUUUCCAACAUCUAGGUACUAAGGUUUCUAGCAGCGCCCCCUGGCUGUGCUGAGGAGAAACAUCAUGGGACUGAGGCCUGGACAGGAGAUUGCCCAUGGCUGGGCUUGACUAUGGUGAGGCCUGGACAGGAGGCCACCCAUGGUUGGGCUUGACUAUGGUGAGGCCUGGACAGGAGGCCACCCAUGGUUGGGCUUGACUAUGGUGAGGCCUGGACAGGAGACCGCCCAUGGCUGGGCUUGACAAUGGUGACUUUCUGGCUUGAGAGACUGUCUGCUGAGAGCCAGUCAGAGUUGCUGAUGUGCAAAGAUGGGUGAGAUCAAAGAAUUCUGCAUGGUCUGGGCUUUAAAAAUGGGGUGGGCUGCUCGCCGUGGGUGAGGACGUAGAUUAGCCCAACCCUUAGAGAACAAUGCAGAGGGUCCCGAGCAAAUGGCAUGACCUCGCAUUGCCACUCCUAGGUUGGCGCUGAGCUGACAGACCUUGGUAGGCUGUUGUGGAGAAUUCGCUGUGGCUAAGACACAAGUCAAGACUGGCAUCCAUCAGCAAGUGAAUGGAUUAAGAGAAAGUUGUCCCUAUGAGCAGCAGGACACUAGCCAGACUUAAAAGCACUUGGGAGGCAGAGGCAGAAGGAUCUCUGAGUUUGAGGCCAGCCUGGUCUACAGAGAGAUGCAAGGAGAUUUGCUUAACAAGGGCUCAUGGCACAGCGGGCAUUCACCAUGUAUCAUCAGGCCCUGUGGAUGCACGCUCAGGACUUAGCUCAGUACCAGCCACAUAGGGAGUUCAAUCCUGAGCAGCUGCAGCCCUAGAAAACAGAGGGCUCUGGCCAAUUUCACCCUCCUGGAUUCUCAGGCUCCUGGACCAGCAUCUGCAGCCUUCUCCCCACAGCCCACAAUCCCAGUCCAUUCAUGAUCAGAACAUCAGACAUAUUCCAGUGGAGGGACAUUCUGCAGAACACCUGUCCAGCACUUCUGCCAAGCAUCUGGUCAAGGCCAGAGACGCUGCAAGAAGGGAGCAAACACUGUGGUUCUGUGCAGGUGGCAGCCACUCUCGAUGUCCUCCAGAGACCAUCUGGCACCAAAGGGCAAGGAUCCAAUGGUCUUUAAGGAAACGCCACCAAUUAGAGACCAAAGGCCCAAGACUCCAACUCACGGGGACUCACGGAGCCUUCCUGAACCAGCCACAGUCCCGGGGUCUUCCACUUGGGGGCGUUGCCAUCUGUCUUGUAUGGGAGGCUCACCAGAAGCCAUGCUCUUGCUGCUACAGCCUCAUCAAUAGUGUGGACGCUGAAAAGAAGAGGGGUGCCCAUUACCAGAACAUGUGUCUCUCUGUCUGCGAGGGGCAUGCCCAUCACUUACACAAACUCACUUCCAAGACACUGGGGCAGGCAGCAUUUAAAAAAAAAAAAUUGCAAGACGGCCAUUAUCAUCAUUAGCCCACCUGAGAAAGUGCACAGGAUGAUGGAAGAGGUCCUCGCCAUCCGCCAGCCUCCUCUGCGGCGGGUCAUUAGUUAAAAGGGGUGGGGGUGGGGCAGGGUGCCAGGUCUGGACCACAGUGCUCCCUUUGGAGAAAGGAGCCAGAGACAAAUGAUUCGAGUCUGAAUUCCAUAUACACCGGAGAUUGCUUAUCGAUCCCCAUCAGAAUAUGCGGCUGGCCCCGGGGACGACUGGGAUUUUCUCAGGGAGUUAAUAACGUGGCAGCCGAGCUGUCUUGUCCAAUUCACUGAAGCCAGGCCUCUAAUCAGCCCCGAGUUUCUUAUUUUGAGAAUUCUUGCCACUUGUGCGUGCGGCACCCCUUCCAGUCUGCUGGGCCCUGCCAGUGAUUGAAAUGACAGCCCACGGAUGGGGAGGCUAAUCAAAUUGUUUAUUAUCGACCUAAAUCAAUACGUAUAGAUUGUCGAAACAUUACUGUCACACUGCCAAAAAGUCAUACUAAUAAUUCCAGGCCAGCAGAUGGAAUCCAGCCACCAUCUCUUGGACAUGAAUUACAUCUAAAUUUAGGGGAACGAAACAAUUAAAAUGGGAAGGGGCUUUCAGUGACGGGGUGGGCAGGACCCUGAGUGGGCAUGCAUUCUGACAGAACUCAAGGGCUCUGUGUUAGGUAUGAAUGUCAAAAUGUCACUUUGAGCGGUUCAAAUAUGGGUCCUCCGCUAGGGAGAGAGUCAAAAGUCCUCAAGAACUGCAGGAGGGAGCCAUGUGAAGAUGUGAGGGUGUGAUUUGCAGGGAAAGAUUGGGACUUGGAGGAUCGGGUGGGGCCCCAGGGAGGCUGAGAUUUUGGUAGCCUGGAUACAAGCUCUUGUUUACCUAAGAGGGUGUACUUCCUUCCUAGGCUCAGUGACCAGACACGAUCUUCCCCUUUUCAGAGAACGGGUUGGGCAUGAAGAGGAGGAGGGUCUCACUGUCUGAAAGACACAGUAGCUACAGGCACCUCAGUUGCAGCGGCUCUAGAACCAGCAACGUCUGCGCCAAUGCAAGUCUCCUUAGGACUUAGAAAGGGCAUCGGUGUGAGCCAGCUUUUCUUGGCUGUAGCAAGCAGCAUAGCCAAGCAGCUUACAAAGAAAAAGGGUUUUCCUCUGAUCAGUUUCAGAGGUUUUCUUCUGAUCAGUUUCUCAUCCAUAACUGUGUUGCUUUGGGUGAGGUGGUACUCACGAAGGAGCAUGUUGUGAGGCAAAUAGUCCCUCAUUUUAGGGCCAAGGAGUGAAAGAGAGGAAGGAAAGUUUUAAGGACAUGCUCCCAAUAACCUAAAGACCUCCCACCAAGCCUUAUUUCCCAAAUGUUCCACCACCUUCCUAUAGGGCCAUCUUGGAUCCAAACUUUCAAUACAUGGUCUGUUGGGGACAUUUAGCAUCCAAACUACAGCAGGGCUUCUCUAGAUAGACAGGUUAGAAAAUAUCCCUGUUCUGGACACUCUGUUGCAGUUGCCUGGCUUAGCCAAGGGAGCUUUGUGGGUUUCUGUCCCUGACCUGGGAACUGGCACCUUCGUGAACACUAUAUGAAGACAAAUACAAGGCUUGUCCUGGAGUAUCUGUGGACUCUAGGGGAGCAUGCUAAUUCUUCACCAUAGCCUCAUGAGCUGAUCUACUACAGAUGAAGAAACAGGAGCAUCUUGGAGUUGAGUAAUUUGCCCAAGGUCAUGGCUGUAAGAAACGGCACUGGACUCUCAGCUCUGAGUCUGGUUUCCUGGCCAGGAUGCAUGGAAUCAGGUCUGGCUGAGGAAGAGAUUGCUCCAGAGGCAAUGCUGGGACAAAACAUCUUAGAGACGCGUGACUCAACUCAGUCAAAAAGGCUCAGAGUCAGCACUUGAGUCUUCAGCCUUGGCCUUUCAAGAUGAAGAAUUCAUCCAGCAGGCACUAUCACUGCCCAGCUUCCUAGAGAUGCCAUCCCCACUGCCCAGCUUCCUACAGAUGUGAUCAUCACUGCCCAGCUUC